UUUCAUCAAUAUGUUCCGCAACCAUUUCAUAUCCAUAGCAAUUCCGAGGAUCAUCGUACAUAUCUCCUCAUAUUAAACGUGAUUGUGCUAAUCGUUACCAUCCUGAAUUGCAUUUGCUCGAUAGUAGAAUCAAAUUAAUUUUGCCACCUCCAUUUCAAAGAGGAUGACUUUUAUCUUAAUAUUUUUGGGAAAAACAAGUGUUAGCGGUGUUUUUGUAUCGGGACAAAGAAUGUAAGUGGGAUGGUUCUAAUAAAGGUCAAAUAUGUAUUGUGGAACCCAGCUAUCGAAGAAUUCGUUGUCAUUCCUCCUAGCCCCGAUGAGCUUGUACCAAAACACCCUCGCCUUGGCGUGUUUUCAUGACUUUCAUGGGUUUGGUUAUGACCAAGUAAGAGAUGACUUUAAGGUGAUUCAAUAUGU
RNAcentral lists this long non-coding RNA (417 nucleotides) under Lathyrus oleraceus (garden pea). RNAcentral describes it as "Pisum sativum (pea) long non-coding RNA (PSAT_LNC027450)". Lineage: Eukaryota; Viridiplantae; Streptophyta; Magnoliopsida; Fabales; Fabaceae. The record is from RNAcentral.